GAUGAACGCUAGCGGCAGGCUUAAUACAUGCAAGUCGUGGGGCAGCAGGACUGUAGCAAUACAGUUGCUGGCGACCGGCAAACGGGUGCGGAACACGUACGCAACUUACCCUGAACUGGGGGAUAGCCCGGGGAAACCCGGAUUAAUACCCCGUAAUAUAAUGGAGUGGCAUCACUUUAUUAUUAAAGCUCCGGCGGUUCGGGAUGGGCGUGCGGCUGAUUAGGUAGUUGGUUGAGGUAACGGCUCACCAAGCCUACGAUCAGUAACUGGUGUGAGAGCACGACCAGUCACACGGGCACUGAGACACGGGCCCGACUCCUACGGGAGGCAGCAGUAAGGAAUAUUGGGCAAUGGAGGCAACUCUGACCCAGCCAUGCCGCGUGGAGGAUGAAGGCCCUCUGGGUUGUAAACUUCUUUUAUAGGGGACGAAAUCUGUGUAUUCUUACGCAGUUGACGGUACCCUAGGAAUAAGCACCGGCUAACUCCGUG
RNAcentral lists this ribosomal RNA (489 nucleotides) under uncultured bacterium. Its description in RNAcentral is "partial 16S ribosomal RNA". It matches the Rfam family "Bacterial small subunit ribosomal RNA", at positions 28 to 507 of the family's 1533-position model. The record is from RNAcentral.